GACGAACGCUGGCGGCGUGCUUAACACAUGCAAGUCGAACGGAAAGGCCCUGCUUUUGUGGGGUGCUCGAGUGGCGAACGGGUGAGUAACACGUGAGUAACCUGCCCUUGACUUUGGGAUAACUUCAGGAAACUGGGGCUAAUACCGGAUAGGAGCUCCUGCUGCAUGGUGGGGGUUGGAAAGUUUCGGCGGUUGGGGAUGGGCUCGCGGCUUAUCAGCUUGUUGGUGGGGUAGUGGCUUACCAAGGCUUUGACGGGUAGCCGGCCUGAGAGGGUGACCGGCCACAUUGGGACUGAGAUACGGCCCAGACUCCUACGGGAGGCAGCAGUGGGGAAUAUUGCACAAUGGGCGGAAGCCUGAUGCAGCAACGCCGCGUGCGGGAUGACGGCCUUCGGGUUGUAAACCGCUUUCGCCUGUGACGAAGCGUGAGUGACGGUAAUGGGUAAAGAAGCACCGGCUAACUACGUGCCAGCAGCCGCGGUGAUACGUAGGGUGCGAGCGUUGUCCGGAUUUAUUGGGCGUAAAGGGCUCGUAGGUGGUUGAUCGCGUCGGAAGUGUAAUCUUGGGGCUUAACCCUGAGCGUGCUUUCGAUACGGGUUGACUUGAGGAAGGUAGGGGAGAAUGGAAUUCCUGGUGGAGCGGUGGAAUGCGCAGAUAUCAGGAGGAACACCAGUGGCGAAGGCGGUUCUCUGGGCCUUUCCUGACGCUGAGGAGCGAAAGCGUGGGGAGCGAACAGGCUUAGAUACCCUGGUAGUCCACGCUGUAAACGGUGGGUACUAGGUGUGGGGUCCAUUCCACGGGUUCCGUGCCGUAGCUAGCGCUUUAAGUACCCCGCCUGGGGAGUACGGCCGCAAGGCUAAAACUCAAAGGAAUUGACGGGGCCCCGCACAAGCGGCGGAGCAUGCGGAUUAAUUCGAUGCAACGCGUAGAACCUUACCUGGGUUUGACAUGGAUCGGGAGUGCUCAGAGAUGGGUGUGCCUCUUUUGGGGUCGGUUCACAGGUGGUGCAUGCCUGUCGUCAGCUCGUGUCGUGAGAUGUUGGGUUAAGUCCCGCAACGAGCGCAACCCUUGUUCACUGUUGCCAGCACGUUAUGGUGGGGACUCAGUGGAGACCGCCGGGGUCAACUCGGAGGAAGGUGGGGAUGACGUCAAGUCCUCAUGCCCCUUAUGUCCAGGGCUUCACGCAUGCUACAAUGGCUGGUACAGAGAGUGGCGAGCCUGUGAGGGUGAGCGAAUCUCGGAAAGCCGGUCUCAGUUCGGAUUGGGGUCUGCAACUCGACCUCAUGAAGUCGGAGUCGCUAGUAAUCGCAGAUCAGCAACGCUGCGGUGAAUACGUUCCCGGG
This 1343-nucleotide ribosomal RNA is filed under the name uncultured bacterium. RNAcentral describes it as "16S ribosomal RNA". It matches the Rfam family "Bacterial small subunit ribosomal RNA", at positions 28 to 1378 of the family's 1533-position model. The record is from RNAcentral.